GCAUUUGAAGCUAGGGCUGCUUGGUUGUCUGUUGCUUGUGCUCAAAACCUUAGCAAGUUCACCAAUCCUGAAGACGGUUUCCAAGCACUCUCAGCUGAUCUCGCUGAGGCAGCAGUGGCUCAUUGCCAAUUAAUUGUUGUUUCCAAAUUCCUUGAGAAGUUGCAACAAGAUAUACCUG
Arachis stenosperma is the source of this 178-nucleotide long non-coding RNA. RefSeq lists it as uncharacterized. The record is from RefSeq and is a predicted model, not a curated record. The transcript is spliced from 3 exons. Lineage: Eukaryota; Viridiplantae; Streptophyta; Magnoliopsida; Fabales; Fabaceae.